AUUUUCAGGGAAACAGGGUAUUUACAAAAAAAUCAGAACAAUAUAGAGAAGAUUAGCAUGGUCCCUGCACAAGAAUGACGUGCAGUAAACAUUCAAGCAAUAUCCGGUGCUU
This is a small nuclear RNA of Heteronotia binoei (common prickly gecko), 112 nucleotides long. NCBI's taxonomy places the organism in Eukaryota, Metazoa, Chordata, Lepidosauria, Squamata, Gekkonidae. The record is from RefSeq and is a predicted model, not a curated record.